RNAcentral lists this long non-coding RNA (1120 nucleotides) under Phascolarctos cinereus (koala). RNAcentral's name for it is "lncRNA (ENSPCIG00000033152.1)". Lineage: Eukaryota; Metazoa; Chordata; Mammalia; Diprotodontia; Phascolarctidae. The record is from RNAcentral.
UAAGUGUUAGAUCAGAUCUUCCUGACUCUAAAUCCAGCAUUCUAUCGGCAGCCCCACCUAGCAGCCAAUAUUCUCGCCAAAUUGUAUCAGGAACAAUUCAUAGAAUAAGAACUCAACAUCCUCCAUCCAUUGACUAAGAUAAGCCGGAAUUUUCCCUUUGCAGAAAAGGUAUCUGUUCGUAAAUGCCGUCACCCAGUCCUGGAUCCCGCAGUGAGGUCAAUCAGUGUGACUGGAGCGCCAUCUGCAGGAUGUCCAUGGAAGAUGCAGGUGCUGAAUAACUACCGCAGCUGGCUGAGUCUCUCUCUACAUUUCCAGAUGUCUCUCUGGAAGUAGAGAAUGAGUCCAAAUGCAACUGUGCUGCCCAAUGGAGGAUCAUUCUCAAGUAUUUAGAGGAACAACGUCACCAUCUCCUUCUGUCUCCAGCCUCAAAGUUUGGAGUAGAAGUGUGUGUCACCCAACUUGGUCCCCCCCCAGAUUCCUUCCCUAGAUUCUCUCUCUGGUUCCUUACCCCCAAAUUCCCUCCUUUACAAGCACAAGCCUUCUUCCCCUUCAUCCUUCCUCUAGCCCUACCCCAAACCCUUGUUCUAUUUUUUAUUCCUCUGCUCAAAGACUUAGAGAUGUCAGGGACUUAGAAUCCAUUCACUGUGUCCAUUUCCCUUCCAGUCCCCCCCACCCCAGCUUUUGCUUCCUCCUUCCCACAACACACUCACCCGUUAGAGACAGAACGAUGGUUAUCCUGCCAUUGUGAGUGACAGUGGGAGACAGAUCCAGAGAAUCCAUGGCCACCCACUCUGCCACCUGGGCCAACGAUCUACAGUCUUCUGGCCUCGGGUUUCUGCUGCCUUGAACACCCAGCUAGUGUGGCGCAGGCUAAACUUCCACCACUGGAAGCAAGAGCUACAGUAACAAAAAGGGUUUUCACUUUGUGGUGGGAAAGAAGAGUAUCAAAUAAGGGACAGGACUCCUGCAGGUGGAUGAGACAAUGAUCAUGGACAGGUAACUGGAACUUUGGAGCAUGCCCAGAUCAUCUAAUAUGCAGGUACUCUGCUUCUGGGAGAAAGCAUCCUGUGUGCCUUACCACAUGGCAGUAGCAUCCUUCACUUGGAUGUAUAAACAUGAU